AGCAGCCGCGGUAAUUCCAGCUCCAAUAGCGUAUAUUAAAGUUGUUGCAGUUAAAAAGCUCGUAGUUGAAUUUCGGGAUUAGUGCGCUGGUCAUGCCUUUGGUAUGUACUGGUGUUACUGAUUUCUACCUUCUAAAGAACCGUUAUGUCAUUUAUUUGGUGUGGCGGGGAAUCAGGACUGUUACUUUGAAAAAAUUAGAGUGUUUAAAGCAGGCUCGCGCUUGAAUACAUUAGCAUGGAAUAAUGAAAUAGGACGUUUGACCCUAUUUUGUUGGUUUCUAGGAUCGACGUAAUGAUUAAUAGGGAUAGUUGGGGGCAUUAGUAUUCAAUUGUCAGAGGUGAAAUUCUUGGAUUUAUUGAAGACUAACUACUGCGAAAGCAUUUGCCAAGGAUGUUUUCAUUAAUCAAGAACGAAAGUUAGGGGAUCGAAGACGAUCAGAUACCGUCGUAGUCUUAACCAUAAACUAUGCCGACUAGGGAUCGGAUGAUGUUAUUUUAAUGACUCAUUCGGCGCCUUACGG
RNAcentral lists this ribosomal RNA (520 nucleotides) under uncultured Glomeromycotina. RNAcentral describes it as "SSU rRNA". It matches the Rfam family "Eukaryotic small subunit ribosomal RNA", at positions 569 to 1093 of the family's 1831-position model. The record is from RNAcentral. Lineage: Eukaryota; Fungi; Glomeromycota.